GCUGCUAAUGGUGAAAGAGAUUCAAACUGAGAAGCUCCAGCAGUUUGCUUUUGCCUGAGCCUCCUGGAAAGACAAGACUCUCCUCUCAUGUCCCUUGCCUCUCUAUUGAGUUAGCUGAAUGCAGAUUAUUUCUUGGUAUUGUUAACAGAAAAAAAUUAACUAGAAGUGUUUACAAUCCUUAAAAAUUCUUUCAUACCAUAAUAAAUACAAAAUUGAUCAAAACCAGCCAUUUAAAAAAGUGAGGAGAGAAAAGUUUAUCCAUUUGUUUGAAAUGUCUAUGCAAAUCAAAACAGGUUCACAAAUGUGUAUCUGAGAGCAAAAAAAAGUUUCAAAGCGCCCAAGUAUUAGUUUAGGAAAUUCUGGAAGAGGUUGCUGGAUCAGGCCCCAAAACAUAUUACAGUCUUACUUUUUAUUCCAUUUGUUAAAAUACCAAAUGCUCGCUCUGUGAUAAAGUAUGUAAAUUAGCAUAGCAUGGAAGAGGCAGACAACUCAAAUUACAGUACAGCUGUGACUCUCGGCAAGUUUGUUUCCCACUCCGCCCCUUACCCCCCAUAGGACACCUGUAUUUGUCCGUUGGUGACUUGUAAGAGUUUGCGCUGAAUCAAUUAUCACUUACUGAAAGCCUUGAAAAAAAGGAAUACAGCUCAACUAUGCUUCAUUGAAAAUUUGCAAUAAAAUCACCUAGAGUACAUUAAUACAACUGGGCUUAUUAGAAACAAAGGGUUUUAUACGUAUGCAAAAAGUAAGGGGAACUUGAUUGAAAAAUAACAGAAUUUUUGUUUGCUUUGUGGCUUUGUUUUGAUCGUGCUUAUUUGUUCAACAAGCAGUGUGUCACCAGAUCAUUUGUAAAGCUAACAGUGACACCAAGAAGAGGACAAAAACUAGGGAGAAGCAAUCUUUGGAAUGUCUUGUGCCCAUUGUGCGGCACAGUUUUAAUUGAACAUCCAACAGCAAUGGAAGCAGGAAUGUAUUGGUGGAAUUUGCAGAGGCCACAAGGAGGAGAAUGAUGAGAGCAAGAAUCCAAAGGAAGACUGGAAAACUUUAAAAAAUGAACUAAAUGGCCUUAACAGACCUGAAGAAUAAAAAUGGGAUGACGUUAGAGUACAGCCGGACGGACAUAAAGCUAAUUUUAUUUCCAUCUUGUCUUUUGUUAUCUGUUCUUGUAAAAAGACAUAAUUCCCAAAAGAGCUGUUAAUUUUUCCUACAUUCCUGUUCUGGAAACACACCACCGUCUAUAAACACUGAGUUUUAUCAGGACCGUCCUAGAUGCUAGGAAGAGGGAGGGCAGUGAUGUGAUUGCAAAUUUUGAGAGGCAGGCAUUUUCAAUUGUCUUCAUAACUACGCCACCAAGGAGAAUCUAAAAACACAGGUACCAACUUGAAAUUACUCCCCUCUUCCUUUUCUGUUGAAGUGAAAGAGAAGGCCAUCGGACAGAUGCUGCUGUCCGUCAUUUCCACAUUGAAGUUUCAGUGAUCUGUCCUUGUAUCUUUCUGAUGCCCUCCAUGCUGGGAAGGACAACACUGGGGAACACCUUGGCUGCAACGGAUCUCUUGAUCUCAUCUCCCCCCCCCCCGCCCCCCAAUCUAUAUAGAAAUGGUUCCUGCUUCACUCAAAGAGAUCUGGAGAGAAAGAGAGAGCUGUUCAGCCCCUACUGAGGGCCCCCGGCAUCAAGCCAAGGACCACUCCACCCUCCCUUCUGGGCAACCAGCUGUUCCCAUCAAACUGCCAGCUGUGUCAAAAUACUCAGAACAGCAGUCCAUUGUAAUGUGGGACUGGAGCAUUGCCAGCACAUGGACGAGGAGAAGUUUGUGUGUGAAAGAGAGGGAGCACAAUUCUUUCUUCUAAGCCCCCUGUUUCUGUAUCUCAGGCCCCCAUAGUGAGGUCCUUUCCUCCCCCCACGUCCACCCU
Molecule: long non-coding RNA, 1908 nt
Organism: Anolis carolinensis (green anole)
Lineage: Eukaryota; Metazoa; Chordata; Lepidosauria; Squamata; Anolidae
Exons: 3
Source: RefSeq, a predicted model, not a curated record